CCGCCGCGCCUCCUAAUGACGCAAAUCACCCGCGUCCCAGGAGUCCUCAGCCAGCCGGGUACCCAAGGUCUCUCCCUGCGGAGCUCCGCAACCGGAAGCUAGCUCGCACUUCCUGAUGACGCACGGCCUGCUGCGCCUGGUGAUGGCUCCUGAGCACAUCUUGAGGAAACCUUGAUCAAGCUGUUGGACAGGUCGUUACGGAAUAUGUUUAAAAUGCCUCCGCGCCAAGCAUUGCUAUGGGCGACGUCUCCUAAUCAUAAACUUCAAAGAACUCAGGUAAUUUAAAGAAGACACAAACAUCUCAAUGAACUUAAAAGAGACCAGCAAUAAAUGCCAGCACAAUGGGGGAAAACACAAAUACAUGGACAAAUUAGAAUUUGAAGAACACCUUGGAUGUGAAAGCUGAACUCAAGAGAGAAAGAAAGACAGGAGAGAACUCAAGCUGAAGUGAAGAUGAAAGUGAGAAACACAACAUGACUAGGACAUUUAGGGGAGACAUUACAAACACAGCAUGACUAGGACAUUCAGGGGAGACAUUACAAACACAGCAUGACUAGGACAUUCAGGGGAGACAUUACAAGUAGAAUGGACCAAGUAGAAGAUCGCAUAUCAGGAACCAAAAACAAAGCAGAGAAGAUACAUCCACAAGCAAAGGAUAUAAAAAAUUAAAUCCCAUGCAAUGAAGAAAUGUAGAGCACCAUUAAAAGACUAAGUCUUCUAGUUAUAUGCACUCAUAAAGGAGAAGGAUCCCGGGACAAUGUUGGAGACCAGGUCUUUAGCAGGACCAUAGAAGGUGUCUCCAAAUGGAGGCAAGACCUACAAAGAUACAAGAAGCAAAUAAACGUCCCAUGUGUAUCGUAAACAAAGAAAGAGUAUUGAAAGAUGCAAGAGAAAGAAAGAGAGACAGAUACAAAGGAAAAACCCAACACAACAACAACCAGUUUCUCAACAGGAACUGUAAAAAUCAGUAGAGCCUAGAGCGAUGCACUUCAAAUCUGAAAAGACCACAGAUGCCAACCUAGACUACUACUGUACUACUGUACUGCUGUACUACUGUACUACUAUACUACUGUACCGCUGUACUGCUGUACUACUGUACUGCUGUACUGCUGUACUACUGUACUACUAUAAUACUGUACUACUGUACUACUGUACUGCUGUACUGCUGUACCACUGUACUGAUGUACUGCUGUACUACUGUACUACUAUAAUACUGUACUACUGUACUACUGUAUUACUGUACUACUGUACCACUGUACCGUUGUACCGCUGUACCGCUGUACUACUGUACUGCUGUACUGCUGUACUACUAGACUACUGUACUACUAGACUACUAGACUACUGUACUAUUGUACUACUGUACUACUAGACUACUAGACUACUGUACUAUUGUACUACUGUGCUACUGUGCUACUGUGCUACUGUACUACUGUACUACUAGACUACUGUACUACUGUACUACUAGACUACUAUACUACUAGACUACUGUACUACUGUGCUACUGUACUACUGUACUACUGUACUACUGUGCUACUGUACUACUGUACUACUAUACUACUGUAUACUGAAGAACCCUCAAUUGUCACUGAUGGAGAAAACAAGAUAUUUCAAGACACAUCCAAAUUUAAACAAUUUCUAUUCACAAAUUCAGCCCUGCAGAAAAUACUAGAAGGAAAAAUCCAAUCCAAGAAGGUAACUACAUCCAAGAAAACACAGGAAAUAAGUAAUUCCUUAUCAGCAAAAAACAAGGGAAGCACAGGCGUGUGCACACGCAUAUACUACUAACACCACCAACAUCAAAAGAACAGGAAUUAUAGGGGGGUUUGUGGAGGGGAAACUGAGAAAGGGGAUAACAUUUGAAAUGUAAACAAAUAAGAUAUCCAAUAAAAAGUAACAGGAAUUAAUAA
This is a non-coding RNA of Rattus norvegicus (Norway rat), 1907 nucleotides long. NCBI's taxonomy places the organism in Eukaryota, Metazoa, Chordata, Mammalia, Rodentia, Muridae. The record is from RefSeq and is a predicted model, not a curated record.